UCUGAUUUCAUUUUUGCCAGAUCCUGUUUUGUUGGCAGUUCGGAGAGUCCAGGUGGUUGAGUAUCAGAUUGUUCCAUCUCGUUUCCCUUUGGGGUUGCUGUAGGUGAUCCAGAAAUCUGUUUUUGAAACUUGUUUACAUGUCUUCUCAUUUCCAUGGGUGGGGGGGUGCUUCUGGCGCCCCCUCGGCUCACCUUCUCUGCCCUAGGAGCGUGGGAUGGCAGUGGGGGAGCUUCCUUCCAGGUGCUGAGACCAGCUCAGCUUCUCUGCCCUAGGAGCUUGGGAUGGUGGCGGGGGAGCUUCCUUCUGGGUGCUGGGACCGGCUCAGCUUCUCUGCCCUAGCAUUCCUAGAUUUUUGACCUGUCCAAGAGACAUGAGGCACACUGGAGGAAGAACACAUUUGUAGAGGUAUGGAAUUGAGUUCUAUUGUGUGAGGUGGGAUGUAUUCAAGUGGCAAUGGGAUAUCUAUGUCUGGACUUCAGGGUACAAUUUAAGACUGGACAAUUUAAUUUGGGAAUAAUGAGGGAAUAACCAUGUCAUUGGAUGAAAUCACCUAGUGCAGCUAGAGAAGAUAGUAGCAAAAGACCAAGCCCUGGGAUAUGCCAACAUAAAGAAGUAGAGGAAGGCCAGGGAUUUAGCUCAGUGGCACUGUGGCUGCCGCACAAGCACAAGGUCCUGAGUUCAAUUCCUGUUACUGAAAAAAAAAAAAGUAGAGGAAGAAAGGAAAAACCAGUAAAUGACUGUGAAGGACUUGCCAGCAAGCUAGAAGAAAAAUCAGGAGACUAGUAUGCUAGAAGCUAGGAAGUAUUUCAAAAAUAAAAGUCAUUUCCUCAUGUUCUCACCAUUUACAUGAGGAAGUUUAAAAAGUUAUCUCAUAUAAGUAGAGAGUAGAAUAGUGGUUACCAGAAGCCGGGAAGAAUAGAGAAAGGUUGGAGAGAAGAUAACAGGUAUAGAAGUCUCAUUGAAUAGGAGGAAUUAGCAUCAUGUGUUUAAAAAGAGCUACUAGAGAUGAUUUUGGAUGUUUCCCAACAAAAAGAAAUGAUAAAUGUUUGAGAUGAUGUGUAUGCCCAUUUACCCUUCUCUGAUCGUUGCACAUUACAUAUAUGUAUAGAGAUAUCAUAAUGUACCCCAUAAAUAUCUUCCACUAUGUGUCAGUUAAUUUUUGAAGUUAAAUAAUAAAAUCAGAAAUUCAGUUCCUCUAAAACAAGAGUGUUUAAUGGUGAGGAAUAUUGUCUGUUACUUGGAAAAUAGAAGCUUUGGGCCUUUUGAAAUAAAUGUGAUAGCUCCCUCAAUCAGUAACCUUUCCCAUUUGGAAACUUCUCUG
This is a long non-coding RNA of Heterocephalus glaber (naked mole-rat), 1321 nucleotides long. NCBI's taxonomy places the organism in Eukaryota, Metazoa, Chordata, Mammalia, Rodentia, Bathyergidae. The record is from Ensembl.